This 1513-nucleotide ribosomal RNA is filed under the name uncultured marine bacterium. RNAcentral's name for it is "16S ribosomal RNA". It matches the Rfam family "Bacterial small subunit ribosomal RNA". The record is from RNAcentral.
AUUGAACGCUGGCGGUAUGCUUAACACAUGCAAGUCGAACGGAAACGAUACUAGCUUGCUAGUAGGCGUCGAGUGGCGGACGGGUGAGUAACGCGUAGGAAUCUGCCUGAUAGUGGGGGAUAGCCCGAAGAAAUUCGGAUUAAUACCGCAUAAUCUAUUCGUAGUAAAGUGGGGGACUUUCGAGCCUCACGCUAUCAGAUGAGCCUGCGUAAGAUUAGCUAGUUGGUAGGGUAAAAGCCUACCAAGGCAACGAUCUUUAGCUGGUCUGAGAGGAUGAUCAGCCACAUCGGGACUGAGACACGGCCCGAACUCCUACGGGAGGCAGCAGUGGGGAAUAUUGGACAAUGGGGGCAACCCUGAUCCAGCAAUACCGCGUGUGUGAAGAAGGCCUGAGGGUUGUAAAGCACUUUCAAUUGUGAAGAAAAGUUAACGGUUAAUAACCGUUAGCCUUGACGUUAACUUUAGAAGAAGCACCGGCUAACUCCGUGCCAGCAGCCGCGGUAAUACGGAGGGUGCAAGCGUUAAUCGGAAUUACUGGGCGUAAAGCGUGCGUAGGCGGUUUAUUAAGUCAGAUGUGAAAGCCCCGGGCUUAACCUGGGAACUGCAUUUGAAACUGGUCAACUAGAGUAUGGUAGAGGAAAGUGGAAUUUCUGGUGUAGCGGUGAAAUGCGUAGAUAUCAGAAGGAACAUCAAUGGCGAAGGCAGCUUUCUGGACCAAUACUGACGCUGAGGUACGAAAGCGUGGGUAGCAAACAGGAUUAGAUACCCUGGUAGUCCACGCCGUAAACGAUGAUAACUAGCCGUUGGGGGGAUUUACCCUUUAGUGGCGAAGCUAACGCGUUAAGUUAUCCGCCUGGGGAGUACGGCCGCAAGGUUAAAACUCAAAGGAAUUGACGGGGACCCGCACAAGCGGUGGAGCAUGUGGUUUAAUUCGAUGCAACGCGAAGAACCUUACCUGGUCUUGACAUCCUGCGAACUUUCUAGAAAUAGAUUGGUGCCUUCGGGAACGCAGUGACAGGUGCUGCAUGGCUGUCGUCAGCUCGUGUCGUGAGAUGUUGGGUUAAGUCCCGUAACGAGCGCAACCCCUAUCCUUAUUUGCCAGCACGUCAUGGUGGGAACUAUAAGGAGACUGCCGGUGAUAAACCGGAGGAAGGCGGGGACGACGUCAAGUCAUCAUGGCCCUUACGACCAGGGCUACACACGUGCUACAAUGGGAAGGACAAAGAGCCGCGAAGCCGCGAGGUGUAGCUAAUCUCAGAAACCUUUUCGUAGUCCGGAUUGGAGUCUGCAACUCGACUCCAUGAAGUCGGAAUCGCUAGUAAUCGUAGAUCAGAAUGCUACGGUGAAUACGUUCCCGGGUCUUGUACACACCGCCCGUCAUACCAUGGGAGUGGGUUGCACCAGAAGUGGCUAGUCUAACUUAGUGAGGACGGUCACCACGGUGUGAUUCAUGACUGGGGUAAAGUCGUAACAAGGUAGCCCUACCGGAAGGUGGGGCUGGAUCACCUCCUUA